RNAcentral lists this unclassified non-coding RNA (416 nucleotides) under soil metagenome. Its description in RNAcentral is "partial contains 5.8S ribosomal RNA, internal transcribed spacer 2, and large subunit ribosomal RNA". The stretch from base 1 to 120 matches the Rfam family "5.8S ribosomal RNA", at positions 35 to 154 of the family's 154-position model. The record is from RNAcentral.
GAUGAAGAACGCAGCGAAAUGCGAUAAGUAAUGUGAAUUGCAGAAUUCAGUGAAUCAUCGAAUCUUUGAACGCACCUUGCACUCCUUGGUAUUCCGAGGAGUACGCCUGUUCGAGUGUUAUGAAGCUCUCAAAACGCAAUUGGCUUAAAACCUGAUUGUUGUUUUGGAUUUGAACUUUGCCGUGUUAUAACGGCUGGUUUUAAAAGUAUUAGCUGGUACUAGAACGAAUUGGUUCUACUCAACGUGAUAAUUAUCUGAUCGUUGAGGACAUUCCUUUCACGAGGAAUGGCCAUAGUAAAUUCAAUGGACUGCUUCUAAUCUGGCUUUACUUCUUUAUUGGAUUAACCACUUUUCAAAUCUGACCUCGAAUCAGGUGGGACUACCCGCUGAACUUAAGCAUAUCAAUAAGCGGAGGA